This 253-nucleotide ribosomal RNA is filed under the name uncultured bacterium. Its description in RNAcentral is "partial 16S ribosomal RNA". It matches the Rfam family "Bacterial small subunit ribosomal RNA", at positions 524 to 776 of the family's 1533-position model. The record is from RNAcentral.
CACGGGGGGAGCAAGCGUUGUUCGGAAUCACUGGGCGUAAAGGGCGUGUAGGCGGUUUGUUAAGUCAUGUGUGAAAUCCCUCGGCUCAACCGGGGAACGACGCAUGAAACUGGCAAGCUAGAGUACCAAAGAGGGGGGUGGAAUUCCCGGUGUAGCGGUGAAAUGCGCAGAUAUCGAGAGGAACACCAGUGGCGAAGGCGGCUCUCUGGGCCUUUCCUGACGCUGAGACGCGAAAGCGUGGGGAGCGAACCGG